Molecule: ribosomal RNA, 460 nt
Filed under: uncultured bacterium
Lineage: Bacteria
Description: partial 16S ribosomal RNA
Rfam family: Bacterial small subunit ribosomal RNA
Source: RNAcentral
CCUACGGGAGGCUGCAGUGAGGAAUAUUGGUCAAUGGGCGCGAGCCUGAACCAGCCAAGUAGCGUGAAGGAUGACUGCCCUACGGGUUGUAAACUUCUUUUAUAAAGGAAUAAAGUGAGGCACGUGUGCCUUUUUGUAUGUACUUUAUGAAUAAGGAUCGGCUAACUCCGUGCCAUCAGCCGCGUUAAUACGGAGGAUCCGAGCGUUAUCCGGAUUUAUUGGGUUUAAAGGGAGCGUAGAUGGGUUGUUAAGUCAGUUGUGAAAGUUUGCGGCUCAACCGUAAAAUUGCAAUUGAUACUGGCAGUCUUGAGUACAGUUGAGGUAGGCGGAAUUCGUGGUGUAGCGGUGAAAUGCUUAGAUAUCACGAAGAACUCCGAUUGCGAAGGCAGCUUACUAAACUGCCACUGACAUUGAUGCUCGAAAGUGUGGGUAUCAAACAGGAUUAGAUACCCCAGUAGUC